GGGGGCAUAGCUCAGGGGCAGAGCAUUUGACUGCAGAUCAAGAGGUCCCCGGUUCAAAUCCGGGUGCCCCCU
Felis catus (domestic cat) is the source of this 72-nucleotide transfer RNA. It matches the Rfam family "tRNA". From Rfam's summary of the family: Transfer RNA (tRNA) molecules are approximately 80 nucleotides in length. Their secondary structure includes four short double-helical elements and three loops (D, anti-codon, and T loops). NCBI's taxonomy places the organism in Eukaryota, Metazoa, Chordata, Mammalia, Carnivora, Felidae. The record is from Rfam.